RNAcentral lists this long non-coding RNA (1957 nucleotides) under Ananas comosus (pineapple). RNAcentral's name for it is "long non-coding RNA (ACOM_LNC032232)". Lineage: Eukaryota; Viridiplantae; Streptophyta; Magnoliopsida; Poales; Bromeliaceae. The record is from RNAcentral.
GCAUAUAUACCAACACACAAAUAUGAAAUAAAGUAGGUUAAAUUAUAGAAAAUCUUUCUGUAUAUAUUUGUUUUUUCACUUUUCCUUUCUGACUUUUAAAAAGCUGCAUUUUAUUUUCUUAAAAUUUCGAGUUGUUACAUUUAAGACCCCUCUAUCAGGAUUCCAUCAGUAUGUCGUCCAUUUUUUAUAUUUUACACCUAAAAUAUUUUUCAAAAUAAUAAAAAUAUAUUAAAAAAUUAUUUUUUUAUAGAAGAAGUAAGAGUAAUUUGGUCAUUUUGUCCUCUUCAUUAACACUAUACUCUUUCAAAAUAUUUCUGAAAUUUUAAUAGAAGCAAAAUAUAACAUUUUAAAAGUUAGGAAGAAAAAGUAAGAAAAAAGAAUACUCAUAGGAAAGUUUUCUAUAAUUUAGCCAAUAAAGUAGCCUGAAAUAGUAUAUAUAUAUAUAUAGAGAGAGAGAGAGAGAGAGAGAGAGUUGAGCUAGAAUACUCUCGAUAGUAAACAAGCCCGUUUACUAUUGAGUUGUUUUUGAUGAUAGAGCUUCCAAAUUGACGAUCGGCUCCGUUGAACACGAUUUAUACCACUUGAAGUGUUUAGAAAUCAAAUUUCAAAUCUUUUCGACAUCAUUUGCCUAAUGAUCAAAGGGUUUCAAAAUUUGUAAUUUUAAUGGUGGAUAAGAGACAUUUUCUCGUUUAACGAUGUAAAGGUAUCCAAAUGAAUUGAAUUUUUGUUAGAAAAUUCUUUAAACUAUUUAAAACAAGAUCUAUACUCUUGAUCUUGAUUACAAGACUCCUAUCAUCAUUUUUUAAAGAAUAUUCAUUUUCAGUCAUUUACUUUUCUGUUCACUAGAUGGAUAAAAAACAAUAUCGAAAGUGCGUGAAAUCUGAUUUCUAGGUAGUUUAAAUGGUUUAGAUCAUAUUUAACGGAGCCAAUCGUCAAUUUGGAAGCUCUAUCAUCGAAAACAACUCGAUAGUAAACGGGCUCGUUUACUAUCGAGAGUAUUCUAGCUCAACUAUAUAUAUAUAUAUAUAUAUAUAAAAUCCAGCUACUAUCCUAUUAAUAGGAUAGAGACCAUUGUCUUAUCAAGUCAUUCUUGAUGAUAGAGAUGCCGAAUCGAUGAUCGGAAUCGUUAAAAUUGAUCUAGAGUAUUUGAAUUAUCUAUAAACUAAAUUUCAGAAAUUUUAAAAAUCAUUUACAUAGUGAUCAAAGGAUCAUAAAAUCGAUAAUUUUUGACGGCCUAUAUGGACCGUUUGCUUGUUUAACGGUGUAGAGCAAUCCAAAUUGUUUGAAUUUUUUAUAGAAAAUUUUGUAUACUAUUUAGAUAAUAUUUGAUAACUCUGAUCAUGAUUUGAGAAAGUUUAAUCUAUAUUUUAAGAAGGUUAUUCAUUUAUGACCGUUUAUUUUUUCGACUCUUCGAUAGACUUGAUAAUGAUUUUCAAAAAUUACCAAAUUCGGUUUUUAAAUAUUUCUUAUAGUGUAUAUCAAUUUCAAUGGUGCCGAUUAUCAAUUUAGAGUGUCGAUUAUUCAAAACGACUCGAUAGGAUAAUGAUCCCAAUCCUAUUAAUAGGAUAGUAAUCGGACUAUAUAUAUAUAUAUAUAUAUAUACUUCCACAUCAACCGUUCAUUAAACAUGUAGUCCACUAAGGCUUAGUUUGGUAUUGAGGUCCAUCUAACGUUAUUAGAUAAAAUGGAGUUGAGGAAAAAGUAUACAAGGAAAUGCUUCUGCGUUCUCCGGUGGGAUCGCAGAAAAUAUAUCGUAACCGACUCAUCACGAUAUGUGGAAUGCAAUAUUACGUACGGAAACGAAGGAUAUUUUUCAACGUACUUUUUUACCGCAUGUAACGCAAACUCCCCGCAAUCCCAAACGAAGACUAAAUCAAAUUGCAGGACUUAAUUAUAAUAAUUUAUAAAUUUUAAACCAUAAAUUAUAAUAAAUUAAGAUUUGAGAACGAGCGUGUCA